This 2904-nucleotide ribosomal RNA is filed under the name Klebsiella aerogenes. Its description in RNAcentral is "23S ribosomal RNA". It matches the Rfam family "Bacterial large subunit ribosomal RNA". The record is from RNAcentral. Lineage: Bacteria; Pseudomonadati; Pseudomonadota; Gammaproteobacteria; Enterobacterales; Enterobacteriaceae.
UUAAGCGACUAAGCGUACACGGUGGAUGCCCUGGCAGUCAGAGGCGAUGAAGGACGUGCUAAUCUGCGAAAAGCGUCGGUAAGGUGAUAUGAACCGUUACAGCCGGCGAUGUCCGAAUGGGGAAACCCAGUGCAAUUCGUUGCACUAUCGUUAACUGAAUACAUAGGUUAACGAGGCGAACCGGGGGAACUGAAACAUCUAAGUACCCCGAGGAAAAGAAAUCAACCGAGAUUCCCCCAGUAGCGGCGAGCGAACGGGGAGCAGCCCAGAGUCUGAAUCAGCUUGUGUGUUAGUGGAACGGUCUGGAAAGUCCGACGGUACAGGGUGAUAGUCCCGUACACCAAAAUGCACAGGUUGUGAACUCGAAGAGUAGGGCGGGACACGUGGUAUCCUGUCUGAAUAUGGGGGGACCAUCCUCCAAGGCUAAAUACUCCUGACUGACCGAUAGUGAACCAGUACCGUGAGGGAAAGGCGAAAAGAACCCCGGCGAGGGGAGUGAAAAAGAACCUGAAACCGUGUACGUACAAGCAGUGGGAGCACCUUUAUGGUGUGACUGCGUACCUUUUGUAUAAUGGGUCAGCGACUUAUAUUCUGUAGCAAGGUUAACCGUAUAGGGGAGCCGCAGGGAAACCGAGUCUUAACUGGGCGUUAAGUUGCAGGGUAUAGACCCGAAACCCGGUGAUCUAGCCAUGGGCAGGUUGAAGGUUGGGUAACACUAACUGGAGGACCGAACCGACUAAUGUUGAAAAAUUAGCGGAUGACUUGUGGCUGGGGGUGAAAGGCCAAUCAAACCGGGAGAUAGCUGGUUCUCCCCGAAAGCUAUUUAGGUAGCGCCUCGUGAAUUCAUCUUCGGGGGUAGAGCACUGUUUCGGCUAGGGGGUCAUCCCGACUUACCAACCCGAUGCAAACUACGAAUACCGAAGAAUGUUAUCACGGGAGACACACGGCGGGUGCUAACGUCCGUCGUGAAGAGGGAAACAACCCAGACCGCCAGCUAAGGUCCCAAAGUCACAGUUAAGUGGGAAACGAUGUGGGAAGGCACAGACAGCCAGGAUGUUGGCUUAGAAGCAGCCAUCAUUUAAAGAAAGCGUAAUAGCUCACUGGUCGAGUCGGCCUGCGCGGAAGAUGUAACGGGGCUAAACUGUGCACCGAAGCUGCGGCAGCGACACUAUGUGUUGUUGGGUAGGGGAGCGUUCUGUAAGCCUGCGAAGGUGGCCUGUGAGGGUUGCUGGAGGUAUCAGAAGUGCGAAUGCUGACAUAAGUAACGAUAAUGCGGGUGAAAAGCCCGCACGCCGGAAGACCAAGGGUUCCUGUCCAACGUUAAUCGGGGCAGGGUGAGUCGACCCCUAAGGCGAGGCCGAAAGGCGUAGUCGAUGGGAAACAGGUUAAUAUUCCUGUACUUGGUGUUACUGCGAAGGGGGGACGGAGAAGGCUAUGUUAGCCGGGCGACGGUUGUCCCGGUUUAAGCAUGUAGGCGGAGGUUCCAGGUAAAUCCGGUACCUUUUUAACGCUGAGGUGUGAUGACGAGGCACUACGGUGCUGAAGUAACAAAUGCCCUGCUUCCAGGAAAAGCCUCUAAGCAUCAGGUAACAUUAAAUCGUACCCCAAACCGACACAGGUGGUCAGGUAGAGAAUACCAAGGCGCUUGAGAGAACUCGGGUGAAGGAACUAGGCAAAAUGGUGCCGUAACUUCGGGAGAAGGCACGCUGAUAUGUAGGUGAAGCCCCUGCGGGUGGAGCUGAAAUCAGUCGAAGAUACCAGCUGGCUGCAACUGUUUAUUAAAAACACAGCACUGUGCAAACACGAAAGUGGACGUAUACGGUGUGACGCCUGCCCGGUGCCGGAAGGUUAAUUGAUGGGGUUAUCCGUAAGGAGAAGCUCUUGAUCGAAGCCCCGGUAAACGGCGGCCGUAACUAUAACGGUCCUAAGGUAGCGAAAUUCCUUGUCGGGUAAGUUCCGACCUGCACGAAUGGCGUAAUGAUGGCCAGGCUGUCUCCACCCGAGACUCAGUGAAAUUGAACUCGCUGUGAAGAUGCAGUGUACCCGCGGCAAGACGGAAAGACCCCGUGAACCUUUACUAUAGCUUGACACUGAACAUUGAGCCUUGAUGUGUAGGAUAGGUGGGAGGCUUUGAAGCGUGGACGCCAGUCUGCGUGGAGCCAACCUUGAAAUACCACCCUUUAAUGUUUGAUGUUCUAACGUUGGCCCCUUAUCGGGGUUGCGGACAGUGUCUGGUGGGUAGUUUGACUGGGGCGGUCUCCUCCCAAAGAGUAACGGAGGAGCACGAAGGUUAGCUAAUCCUGGUCGGACAUCAGGAGGUUAGUGCAAUGGCAUAAGCUAGCUUGACUGCGAGCGUGACGGCGCGAGCAGGUGCGAAAGCAGGUCAUAGUGAUCCGGUGGUUCUGAAUGGAAGGGCCAUCGCUCAACGGAUAAAAGGUACUCCGGGGAUAACAGGCUGAUACCGCCCAAGAGUUCAUAUCGACGGCGGUGUUUGGCACCUCGAUGUCGGCUCAUCACAUCCUGGGGCUGAAGUAGGUCCCAAGGGUAUGGCUGUUCGCCAUUUAAAGUGGUACGCGAGCUGGGUUUAGAACGUCGUGAGACAGUUCGGUCCCUAUCUGCCGUGGGCGCUGGAGAAUUGAGGGGGGCUGCUCCUAGUACGAGAGGACCGGAGUGGACGCAUCACUGGUGUUCGGGUUGUCAUGCCAAUGGCAUUGCCCGGUAGCUAAAUGCGGAAGAGAUAAGUGCUGAAAGCAUCUAAGCACGAAACUUGCCCCGAGAUGAGUUCUCCCUGAGACUUUAAGUCUCCUGAAGGAACGUUAAAGACGAUGACGUUGAUAGGUCGGGUGUGUAAGCGUAGCGAUACGUUGAGCUAACCGAUACUAAUGAACCGUGAGGCUUAACCUU